UAAGGACUAUCAGAUAUGAUUGUAUGGAAUGGUGGCACAGGGAUGUGGGAUCUUGCCGAGAUUCUUGCGCUGGACGCAUAUGUUCUCACCCUGGGGAUGGGGUGGGUGAGCCAAGAGACUGCACACUAUUUGGAUAUCAAGGUAAUCAAGGGUUUCUGGAACCCUUUUAGCUUGUUUGUAAAUUCUGUCCUUAAACAUGUAAUAUGGUCUUUAGCAGAUCAGAUGGGCAAUCUCUCUUAGUAAAGGUGCCCUUUCUUUGGCAUUUGGGAGGUUCUCUAACAAAAACCUAUAGAAUGCUUUGCAGGUUGGCUCCAGACAUAGUGACUGGUACAGAUUGUUGAAACUGUACAUUACCAUUAUGUCUCCUUGGUGCUACUCACUGCUACAUAUCUUUGCCAAGACAUUUGUUGCUACUGUUGUUGAAUUAUCAGUUUGUUCCAGGAUUGAUAUAAAAUUUUUCACAACUGUGAGAAGUGCUGUUACUUAUAUGUCA
RNAcentral lists this long non-coding RNA (493 nucleotides) under Androctonus crassicauda. Lineage: Eukaryota; Metazoa; Arthropoda; Arachnida; Scorpiones; Buthidae. The record is from RNAcentral.